Molecule: ribosomal RNA, 609 nt
Filed under: Triticum aestivum (bread wheat)
Lineage: Eukaryota; Viridiplantae; Streptophyta; Magnoliopsida; Poales; Poaceae
Description: partial small subunit ribosomal RNA
Source: RNAcentral
AUGAAUGCCAUAGCUUGGAACUAUCGCGGGCUUGGGAACCUGGAGACAGUUCGUGAGCUUCACAACCUUAUGAGGCUAGAAGUGCCCGCCCUUGUUUUUUUGUGUGAGACAAAGAUCAAGGGUGAUCGUGUGACUGAUCUAACAAAAAGACUUGGUUUUGAAGGAUGCUUUUCAGUUGAUAGUGCGGGCCUCAGUGGAGGUUUGACGUUGUUUUGGUCCAAAGGAGUAAAGGUUAAAGUGGAGACAAUGUCUGAUCAACAUAUUGAUGCAAAAGUUACGAAUAUUGGUACCGAUAACAAGAGUUGGAGGUUUACGGGUUUCUAUGCGAAGGCAAAACGUAAGGAACGUUCAGCUAGUUGGGAAUUGUUAAGAUGGUUGCGGACCCAAAGUGACCUACCAUGGCUGUGUGGAGGUGACAUGAAUGAGAUUCUCCAUGGUUCUGAGUACUUUGGUAUGCAUGAUCGCCCGGAGUGGCAGAUGGAAGGGUUCCGGGAAGUGAUGGACACUACAAAAAAAUACACUUCUGUGAUGAUACGUGUUUGUCACAGUAGGUCGCGUUUUCUGUCAUGCAUGUACAUCCAUGACAAAUUUAUGACAGAAUCAAGAUAG